AACGAACGCUGGCGGCAUGCCUAACACAUGCAAGUCGAGCGAGACCUUCGGGUCUAGUGGCGCACGGGUGCGUAACGCGUGGGAACCUGCCCUUAGGUUCGGAAUAACUCCCCGAAAGGGGUGCUAAUACCGGAUAAUGUCUUCGGACCAAAGAUUUAUCGCCUUUGGAUGGGCCCGCGUUGGAUUAGCUAGUUGGUAGGGUAAAAGCCUACCAAGGCGACGAUCCAUAGCUGGUCUGAGAGGAUGAUCAGCCACACUGGGACUGAGACACGGCCCAGACUCCUACGGGAGGCAGCAGUGGGGAAUAUUGGACAAUGGGCGAAAGCCUGAUCCAGCAAUGCCGCGUGAGUGAUGAAGGCCUUAGGGUUGUAAAGCUCUUUUACCGGGAUGAUAAUGACAGUACCGGGAGAAUAAGCUCCGGCUAACUCCGUG
This 432-nucleotide ribosomal RNA is filed under the name uncultured bacterium. RNAcentral's name for it is "partial 16S ribosomal RNA". It matches the Rfam family "Bacterial small subunit ribosomal RNA", at positions 29 to 507 of the family's 1533-position model. The record is from RNAcentral.